CCGUCAAUUCAUUUAAGUUUCACACUUGCGUGCGUACUCCCCAGGCGGGAUACUUAACGCGUUAGCUACGGCACUGUCCGGGUCGAUACAGACAACACCUAGUAUCCAUCGUUUACGGCUAGGACUACUGGGGUAUCUAAUCCCAUUCGCUCCCCUAGCUUUCGUCCCUGAGUGUCAGUUAUGGUCCAGCAAAGCGCCUUCGCCACCGAUGUUCUUCCUGAUCUCUACGCAUUUCACCGCUACACCAGGAAUUCCCUUUGCCCCUACCAUACUCUAGCUGUUCAGUUUCCACUGCCUUUCCGAGGUUGAGCCCCGGUCUUUGACAGCAGACUUGAACUGCCACCUGCGGACGCUUUACGCCCAAUCAUUCCGGAUAACGCUUGCAUCCUCCGUCUUACCG
This 400-nucleotide unclassified non-coding RNA is filed under the name uncultured cyanobacterium. RNAcentral describes it as "contains 16S-23S intergenic spacer region". The record is from RNAcentral. Lineage: Bacteria; Bacillati; Cyanobacteriota.